AGAGUUUGAUCUUGGCUCAGGAUGAACGCUGGCGGCGUGCUAAUACAUGCAAGUCGAGCGAACAAGACGAGGAGCUUGCUCCUUUGACGUUAGCGGCGGACGGGUGAGUAACACGUAGGUAACCUACCUAUAAGACUGGGAUAACUUCGGGAAACCGGAGCUAAUACCGGAUAAUAUUUCGAACCGCAUGGUUCGAUAGUGAAAGAUGGCUUUGCUAUCACUUAUAGAUGGACCUGCGCCGUAUUAGCUAGUUGGUAAGGUAACGGCUUACCAAGGCAACGAUACGUAGCCGACCUGAGAGGGUGAUCGGCCACACUGGAACUGAGACACGGUCCAGACUCCUACGGGAGGCAGCAGUAGGGAAUCUUCCGCAAUGGGCGAAAGCCUGACGGAGCAACGCCGCGUGAGUGAUGAAGGUCUUCGGAUCGUAAAACUCUGUUAUUAGGGAAGAACAAACGUGUAAGUAACUGUGCACGUCUUGACGGUACCUAAUCAGAAAGCCACGGCUAACUACGUGCCAGCAGCCGCGGUAAUACGUAGGUGGCAAGCGUUAUCCGGAAUUAUUGGGCGUAAAGCGCGCGUAGGCGGUUUUUUAAGUCUGAUGUGAAAGCCCACGGCUCAACCGUGGAGGGUCAUUGGAAACUGGAAAACUUGAGUGCAGAAGAGGAAAGUGGAAUUCCAUGUGUAGCGGUGAAAUGCGCAGAGAUAUGGAGGAACACCAGUGGCGAAGGCGACUUUCUGGUCUGUAACUGACGCUGAUGUGCGAAAGCGUGGGGAUCAAACAGGAUUAGAUACCCUGGUAGUCCACGCCGUAAACGAUGAGUGCUAAGUGUUAGGGGGUUUCCGCCCCUUAGUGCUGCAGCUAACGCAUUAAGCACUCCGCCUGGGGAGUACGACCGCAAGGUUGAAACUCAAAGGAAUUGACGG
This 927-nucleotide ribosomal RNA is filed under the name uncultured bacterium. RNAcentral's name for it is "bacterial SSU rRNA". It matches the Rfam family "Bacterial small subunit ribosomal RNA", at positions 8 to 916 of the family's 1533-position model. The record is from RNAcentral.